UAGAAUGUGGUGUAAAGGAAACACAGGGAAAUUUGAGUUCUCUAAUAUAGGUUCAAUUCCUAUUGUUCUAG
RNAcentral lists this transfer RNA (71 nucleotides) under Dorcopsulus vanheurni (lesser forest wallaby). Its description in RNAcentral is "tRNA-Gln". It matches the Rfam family "tRNA". From Rfam's summary of the family: Transfer RNA (tRNA) molecules are approximately 80 nucleotides in length. Their secondary structure includes four short double-helical elements and three loops (D, anti-codon, and T loops). Lineage: Eukaryota; Metazoa; Chordata; Mammalia; Diprotodontia; Macropodidae. The record is from RNAcentral.